Molecule: ribosomal RNA, 344 nt
Filed under: Escherichia albertii
Lineage: Bacteria; Pseudomonadati; Pseudomonadota; Gammaproteobacteria; Enterobacterales; Enterobacteriaceae
Description: bacterial SSU rRNA
Rfam family: Bacterial small subunit ribosomal RNA
Source: RNAcentral
GCAGUGGGGAAUAUUGCACAAUGGGCGCAAGCCUGAUGCAGCCAUGCCGCGUGUAUGAAGAAGGCCUUCGGGUUGUAAAGUACUUUCAGCGGGGAGGAAGGGAGUAAAGUUAAUACCUUUGCUCAUUGACGUUACCCGCAGAAGAAGCACCGGCUAACUCCGUGCCAGCAGCCGCGGUAAUACGGAGGGUGCAAGCGUUAAUCGGAAUUACUGGGCGUAAAGCGCACGCAGGCGGUUGAUUAAGUCAGAUGUGAAAUCCCCGGGCUCAACCUGGGAACUGCAUCUGAUACUGGUCAGCUUGAGUCUCGUAGAGGGGGGUAGAAUUCCAGGUGUAGCGGUGAAAU